Molecule: ribosomal RNA, 301 nt
Filed under: uncultured bacterium
Lineage: Bacteria
Description: partial 16S ribosomal RNA
Rfam family: Bacterial small subunit ribosomal RNA
Source: RNAcentral
CAGUCGCCGCGGGAAUACGUAGGUGGCAAGCGUUGUCCGGAAUUAUUGGGCGUAAAGGGCUCGCAGGCGGUUUCUUAAGUCUGAUGUGAAAGCCCCCGGCUCAACCGGGGAGGGUCAUUGGAAACUGGGAAACUUGAGUGCAGAAGAGGAGAGUGGAAUUCCACGUGUAGCGGUGAAAUGCGUAGAGAUGUGGAGGAACACCAGUGGCGAAGGCGACUCUCUGGUCUGUAACUGACGCUGAGGAGCGAAAGCGUGGGGAGCGAACAGGAUUAGAUACCCCUGUAGUCCCUGUCUCUUAUAA